This 457-nucleotide ribosomal RNA is filed under the name uncultured bacterium. Its description in RNAcentral is "partial 16S ribosomal RNA". It matches the Rfam family "Bacterial small subunit ribosomal RNA", at positions 338 to 795 of the family's 1533-position model. The record is from RNAcentral.
CCUACGGGGGGCAGCAGUGAGGAAUAUUGGUCAAUGGCCGGAAGGCUGAACCAGCCAUGCCGCGUGAAGGUCAGUGCCCUAUGGGUUGUAAACCUCUUUUGUCGGGGAGCAAAAGCCGGACGUGUCCGGCUGUGAGAGUACCCGAAGAAAAAGCAUCGGCUAACUCCGUGCCAGCAGCCGCGGUAAUACGGAGGAUGCGAGCGUUAUCCGGAUUUAUUGGGUUUAAAGGGUGCGCAGGUGGAUUUUUAAGUCAGCGGUCAAAUCGUGGGGCUCAACCCCAUCCAGCCGUUGAAACUGGGGAUCUAGAGUGUGCGAGAGGUAUGCGGAAUGCGUGGUGUAGCGGUGAAAUGCAUAGAUAUCACGCAGAACCCCGAUUGCGAAGGCAGCAUACCGGUGCACAACUGACGCUCAGGCACGAAAGCGUGGGUAUCGAACAGGAUUAGAUACCCUGGUAGUC